Non-coding RNA from Caenorhabditis elegans, 68 nucleotides. NCBI's taxonomy places the organism in Eukaryota, Metazoa, Nematoda, Chromadorea, Rhabditida, Rhabditidae. The record is from Ensembl.
AUUUUGAUGCGUAUCACAACUUGAGAGGGUAUGCAUACACAUAUCUUUUUAGUGAUUUUGUUCGCGCA